GGUUAAGCGACUAAGCGUACACGGUGGAUGCCCUGGCAGUCAGAGGCGAUGAAGGACGUGCUAAUCUGCGAUAAGCGUCGGUAAGGUGAUAUGAACCGUUAUAACCGGCGAUUUCCGAAUGGGGAAACCCAGUGUGAUUCGUCACACUAUCAUUAACUGAAUCCAUAGGUUAAUGAGGCGAACCGGGGGAACUGAAACAUCUAAGUACCCCGAGGAAAAGAAAUCAACCGAGAUUCCCCCAGUAGCGGCGAGCGAACGGGGAGGAGCCCAGAGCCUGAAUCAGUGUGUGUGUUAGUGGAAGCGUCUGGAAAGGCGCGCGAUACAGGGUGACAGCCCCGUACACAAAAAUGCACAUGCUGUGAGCUCGAUGAGUAGGGCGGGACACGUGGUAUCCUGUCUGAAUAUGGGGGGACCAUCCUCCAAGGCUAAAUACUCCUGACUGACCGAUAGUGAACCAGUACCGUGAGGGAAAGGCGAAAAGAACCCCGGCGAGGGGAGUGAAAAAGAACCUGAAACCGUGUACGUACAAGCAGUGGGAGCCUCUUUAUGGGGUGACUGCGUACCUUUUGUAUAAUGGGUCAGCGACUUAUAUUCUGUAGCAAGGUUAACCGAAUAGGGGAGCCGAAGGGAAACCGAGUCUUAACUGGGCGUUAAGUUGCAGGGUAUAGACCCGAAACCCGGUGAUCUAGCCAUGGGCAGGUUGAAGGUUGGGUAACACUAACUGGAGGACCGAACCGACUAAUGUUGAAAAAUUAGCGGAUGACUUGUGGCUGGGGGUGAAAGGCCAAUCAAACCGGGAGAUAGCUGGUUCUCCCCGAAAGCUAUUUAGGUAGCGCCUCGUGAAUUCAUCUCCGGGGGUAGAGCACUGUUUCGGCAAGGGGGUCAUCCCGACUUACCAACCCGAUGCAAACUGCGAAUACCGGAGAAUGUUAUCACGGGAGACACACGGCGGGUGCUAACGUCCGUCGUGAAGAGGGAAACAACCCAGACCGCCAGCUAAGGUCCCAAAGUCAUGGUUAAGUGGGAAACGAUGUGGGAAGGCCCAGACAGCCAGGAUGUUGGCUUAGAAGCAGCCAUCAUUUAAAGAAAGCGUAAUAGCUCACUGGUCGAGUCGGCCUGCGCGGAAGAUGUAACGGGGCUAAACCAUGCACCGAAGCUGCGGCAGCGACACUAUGUGUUGUUGGGUAGGGGAGCGUUCUGUAAGCCUGCGAAGGUGUACUGUGAGGUAUGCUGGAGGUAUCAGAAGUGCGAAUGCUGACAUAAGUAACGAUAAAGCGGGUGAAAAGCCCGCUCGCCGGAAGACCAAGGGUUCCUGUCCAACGUUAAUCGGGGCAGGGUGAGUCGACCCCUAAGGCGAGGCCGAAAGGCGUAGUCGAUGGGAAACAGGUUAAUAUUCCUGUACUUGGUGUUACUGCGAAGGGGGGACGGAGAAGGCUAUGUUGGCCGGGCGACGGUUGUCCCGGUUUAAGCGUGUAGGCUGGUUUUCCAGGCAAAUCCGGAAAAUCAAGGCUGAGGCGUGAUGACGAGGCACUACGGUGCUGAAGCAACAAAUGCCCUGCUUCCAGGAAAAGCCUCUAAGCAUCAGGUAACAUCAAAUCGUACCCCAAACCGACACAGGUGGUCAGGUAGAGAAUACCAAGGCGCUUGAGAGAACUCGGGUGAAGGAACUAGGCAAAAUGGUGCCGUAACUUCGGGAGAAGGCACGCUGAUACGUAGGUGAAGUCCCUUGCGGAUGGAGCUGAAAUCAGUCGAAGAUACCAGCUGGCUGCAACUGUUUAUUAAAAACACAGCACUGUGCAAACACGAAAGUGGACGUAUACGGUGUGACGCCUGCCCGGUGCCGGAAGGUUAAUUGAUGGGGUUAGCGGUAACGCGAAGCUCUUGAUCGAAGCCCCGGUAAACGGCGGCCGUAACUAUAACGGUCCUAAGGUAGCGAAAUUCCUUGUCGGGUAAGUUCCGACCUGCACGAAUGGCGUAAUGAUGGCCAGGCUGUCUCCACCCGAGACUCAGUGAAAUUGAACUCGCUGUGAAGAUGCAGUGUACCCGCGGCAAGACGGAAAGACCCCGUGAACCUUUACUAUAGCUUGACACUGAACAUUGAGCCUUGAUGUGUAGGAUAGGUGGGAGGCUUUGAAGUGUGGACGCCAGUCUGCAUGGAGCCGACCUUGAAAUACCACCCUUUAAUGUUUGAUGUUCUAACGUUGGCCCCUAAUCGGGGUUGCGGACAGUGUCUGGUGGGUAGUUUGACUGGGGCGGUCUCCUCCUAAAGAGUAACGGAGGAGCACGAAGGUUGGCUAAUCCUGGUCGGACAUCAGGAGGUUAGUGCAAUGGCAUAAGCCAGCUUGACUGCGAGCGUGACGGCGCGAGCAGGUGCGAAAGCAGGUCAUAGUGAUCCGGUGGUUCUGAAUGGAAGGGCCAUCGCUCAACGGAUAAAAGGUACUCCGGGGAUAACAGGCUGAUACCGCCCAAGAGUUCAUAUCGACGGCGGUGUUUGGCACCUCGAUGUCGGCUCAUCACAUCCUGGGGCUGAAGUAGGUCCCAAGGGUAUGGCUGUUCGCCAUUUAAAGUGGUACGCGAGCUGGGUUUAGAACGUCGUGAGACAGUUCGGUCCCUAUCUGCCGUGGGCGCUGGAGAACUGAGGGGGGCUGCUCCUAGUACGAGAGGACCGGAGUGGACGCAUCACUGGUGUUCGGGUUGUCAUGCCAAUGGCACUGCCCGGUAGCUAAAUGCGGAAGAGAUAAGUGCUGAAAGCAUCUAAGCACGAAACUUGCCCCGAGAUGAGUUCUCCCUGACUCCCUGAGAGUCCUGAAGGAACGUUGAAGACGACGACGUUGAUAGGCCGGGUGUGUAAGCGCAGCGAUGCGUUGAGCUAACCGGUACUAAUGAACCGUGAGGCUUAACCUU
Molecule: ribosomal RNA, 2904 nt
Filed under: Escherichia coli
Lineage: Bacteria; Pseudomonadati; Pseudomonadota; Gammaproteobacteria; Enterobacterales; Enterobacteriaceae
Description: 23S ribosomal RNA
Rfam family: Bacterial large subunit ribosomal RNA
Source: RNAcentral